RNAcentral lists this unclassified non-coding RNA (301 nucleotides) under uncultured Cortinarius. RNAcentral's name for it is "sequence contains ITS2". The stretch from base 1 to 52 matches the Rfam family "5.8S ribosomal RNA", at positions 103 to 154 of the family's 154-position model. Lineage: Eukaryota; Fungi; Basidiomycota; Agaricomycetes; Agaricales; Cortinariaceae. The record is from RNAcentral.
AACGCACCUUGCACUCCUUGGUAUUCCGAGGAGUAUGCCUGUUUGAGUGUCAUUAAUAUAUCAACCUCUCAAGCUUUUUGCUUGUGGAGUGUAUGGAUGUGGGGGGAUUAUUUUGCUGGCCUUUUAAUGAGGUCGGCUCCCCUGAAAUGCAUUGGCAGAAUCAUAUUGCUGACCGUUUAUUGGUGUGAUAACUAUCUAUGCUGUUGACGUGAAGCAAGUUCAGCUUAUAAUGGUCCAUUGACUUGGACAACAUAUUUAUUAAUGUGACCUCAAAUCAGGUAGGACUACCCGCUGAACUUAA